Molecule: ribosomal RNA, 467 nt
Filed under: uncultured soil bacterium
Lineage: Bacteria
Description: bacterial SSU rRNA
Rfam family: Bacterial small subunit ribosomal RNA
Source: RNAcentral
GCUGGCGGCGUGGAUAAGACAUGCAAGUCGAGCGGGAUUUUCUUUGGUAGCAAUAUCGAGGAAAAUUCAGCGGCGAACGGGUGCGUAACACGUGGGCAAUUUGCCUUAAAGUGUGGGAUAGCUCGGCGAAAGCCGAAUUAAUACCGCAUGUGGCUACUGGAGACAUCUUCGGGACGCUAAAGGUGGCGCAAGCUACCGCUUUUUGAGGAGCCCGCGGCCUAUCAGCUUGUUGGUGAGGUAACGGCUCACCAAGGCUAUGACGGGUAGCUGGUCUGAGAGGACGACCAGCCACACUGGGACUGAGACACGGCCCAGACACCUACGGGUGGCAGCAGUCGAGAAUUUUUGACAAUGGGGGAAACCCUGAUCGAGCGACGCCGCGUGGAGGAUGAAGGUCUUCGGGUUGUAAACUCCUGUCAUUUGGGAACAAGGCGCGUGUAUUAACUGUGCACGCGUUGAUAGUACCA